Molecule: unclassified non-coding RNA, 299 nt
Organism: Mesocricetus auratus (golden hamster)
Lineage: Eukaryota; Metazoa; Chordata; Mammalia; Rodentia; Cricetidae
Gene: 7SK
Rfam family: 7SK RNA
About the family: 7SK was discovered as an abundant small nuclear RNA in the mid-70s but a possible function has only recently been suggested. Two independent studies have found that 7SK RNA binds the CDK9/cyclin T complex (known as elongation factor P-TEFb). P-TEFb activates transcription by phosphorylating the C-terminal domain of RNA polymerase II.
Source: Ensembl
GGUGAGAGCCACCUGGCUGUGACAUCUGUCACCCCAUCGAUCGCUGGGUUGAUUCGGCUGAUCUGGCUGACUAGGCUGGUGUCCCCUUCCUCCCUCGCCACUCCAUGGGCAUCCUGUGCGCUAGGUCGGAGAGGACGACCUUCCCCGAAUAGAGGAGGACCUGUCAAGGGUAUACGAGUAGCUGCGCUCCCCUGCUAGAACCUCCAAACAGGCUCUCGAGCGAUGUGGAGGUGAAUACACCCUUUCCUCCCCAACUUGCUUUUGGUCAUUAUGUUUCAUUGCAGCAAUAGAAACCCCGA